RNAcentral lists this ribosomal RNA (250 nucleotides) under uncultured bacterium. RNAcentral describes it as "partial 16S ribosomal RNA". It matches the Rfam family "Bacterial small subunit ribosomal RNA", at positions 524 to 772 of the family's 1533-position model. The record is from RNAcentral.
UACGGAGGAGGCAAGCGUUAUCCGGAAUUAUUGGGCGUAAAGAGAUGCGUAGGCGGCUCAUCAAGCGAAGUGUGAAAUCUUGUGGCUCAACCACAAGGCUAUGCUUUGAACUGAUGAACUAGAGCAUGAUAGAGGUAACUGGAAUUCCUUGUGUAGGAGUGAAAUCCGUAGAUAUAAGGAGGAACACCAAUGGCGAAGGCAGGUUACUGGAUCAUUGCUGACGCUAAGGCUCGAAAGCGUGGGGAGCGAA